GAUAAACGCUGGCGGCGUGCCUAAUACAUGCAAGUCGAGCGAACGGACGAGAAGCUUGCUUCUCUGAUGUUAGCGGCGGACGGGUGAGUAACACGUGGAUAACCUACCUAUAAGACUGGGAUAACUUCGGGAAACCGGAGCUAAUACCGGAUAAUAUUUUGAACCGCAUGGUUCAAAAGUGAAAGACGGUCUUGCUGUCACUUAUAGAUGGAUCCGCGCUGCAUUAGCUAGUUGGUAAGGUAACGGCUUACCAAGGCAACGAUGCAUAGCCGACCUGAGAGGGUGAUCGGCCACACUGGAACUGAGACACGGUCCAGACUCCUACGGGAGGCAGCAGUAGGGAAUCUUCCGCAAUGGGCGAAAGCCUGACGGAGCAACGCCGCGUGAGUGAUGAAGGUCUUCGGAUCGUAAAACUCUGUUAUUAGGGAAGAACAUAUGUGUAAGUAACUGUGCACAUCUUGACGGUACCUAAUCAGAAAGCCACGGCUAACUACGUGCCAGCAGCCGCGGUAAUACGUAGGUGGCAAGCGUUAUCCGGAAUUAUUGGGCGUAAAGCGCGCGUAGGCGGUUUUUUUAAGUCUGAUGUGAAAGCCCACGGCUCAACCGUGGAGGGUCAUUGGAAACUGGAAAACUUGAGUGCAGAAGAGGAAAGUGGAAUUCCAUGUGUAGCGGUGAAAUGCGCAGAGAUAUGGAGGAACACCAGUGGCGAAGGCGACUUUCUGGUCUGUAACUGACGCUGAUGUGCGAAAGCGUGGGGAUCAAACAGGAUUAGAUACCCUGGUAGUCCACGCCGUAAACGAUGAGUGCUAAGUGUUAGGGGGUUUCCGCCCCUUAGUGCUGCAGCUAACACAUUAAGCACUCCGCCUGGGGAGUACGACCGCAAGGUUGAAACUCAAAGGAAUUGACGGGGACCCGCACAAGCGGUGGAGCAUGUGGUUUAAUUCGAAGCAACGCGAAGAACCUUACCAAAUCUUGACAUCCUUUGACAACUCUAGAGAUAGAGCCUUCCCCUUCGGGGGACAAAGUGACAGGUGGUGCAUGGUUGUCGUCAGCUCGUGUCGUGAGAUGUUGGGUUAAGUCCCGCAACGAGCGCAACCCUUAAGCUUAGUUGCCAUCAUUAAGUUGGGCACUCUAAGUUGACUGCCGGUGACAAACCGGAGGAAGGUGGGGAUGACGUCAAAUCAUCAUGCCCCUUAUGAUUUGGGCUACACACGUGCUACAAUGGACAAUACAAAGGGCAGCGAAACCGCGAGGUCAAGCAAAUCCCAUAAAGUUGUUCUCAGUUCGGAUUGUAGUCUGCAACUCGACUACAUGAAGCUGGAAUCGCUAGUAAUCGUAGAUCAGCAUGCUACGGUGAAUACGUUCCCGGGUCU
This 1373-nucleotide ribosomal RNA is filed under the name uncultured bacterium. RNAcentral's name for it is "bacterial SSU rRNA". It matches the Rfam family "Bacterial small subunit ribosomal RNA", at positions 28 to 1381 of the family's 1533-position model. The record is from RNAcentral.